UUUGGCUCAGGAUGAACGCUGGCGGCGCACAUAAGACAUGCAAGUCGAACGGACUUAACCGUUAGUUUACUAAUGGAGCGGUUAGUGGCGGACUGGUGAGUAACGCGUAAGCAAUCUGCCUGUUAGAGGGGGAUAACAGUGAGAAAUCACUGCUAAUACCGCAUAUGCUGUGAACAUCACAUGAUGUAAACAGGAAAGGAGCAAUCCGCUAAUAGAUGAGCUUGCGUCUGAUUAGUUAGUUGGUGAGGUAACGGCCCACCAAGACGAUGAUCAGUAGCCGGACUGAGAGGUUAAACGGCCACAUUGGGACUGAGAUACGGCCCAGACCCCUACGGGAGGCAGCAGUGGGGAAUA
Molecule: ribosomal RNA, 354 nt
Filed under: uncultured rumen bacterium
Lineage: Bacteria
Description: bacterial SSU rRNA
Rfam family: Bacterial small subunit ribosomal RNA
Source: RNAcentral